Molecule: ribosomal RNA, 322 nt
Filed under: uncultured eukaryote
Lineage: Eukaryota
Description: partial 18S ribosomal RNA
Rfam family: Eukaryotic small subunit ribosomal RNA
Source: RNAcentral
CCCUUAGAUGUUCUGGGCCGCACGCGUGCUACACUGAGUGGAUCAGCGGGUCAGGUUGCGCGAAAGCGUUUCCUAAUCUUUAAAUCCGCUUGUGAUGGGGAUUGACGGUUGCAAUUUUCUGUCAUGAACGAGGAAUACCUUGUAAGCGCGGGUCAUCAUCCCGCGCUGAAUACGUCCCUGCCCUUUGUACACACCGCCCGUCGCUCCUACCGAUUGAGUGGUCCGGUGAGGCUUUGGGAUCUGAGCGGAAAGAGCGUUUCGCUGUUUCUGCUCGGAAAACUCAGUCGAACCUUAUCAUUUAGAGGAAGGAGAAGUCGUAACA